GAACAUCCUGCUUGGCCCUAAUGCUUAUAAUCUUGUUUUGGCAGCAGCAGGCAAAAAACCUGAGAUUGAAAUUUUGUCCCAAGUUUUCAAGGAUCAUGUAAUGUCUCGUGAUUGAUUCUUUGCCAUUGACUUCUUAUCUUACUCUUGCCAAGGGUUUUAUGGACACAAAUGAUCAUGUCUUGUUACUGAGACUUGUUAGAGAUGUAUCAGAGCUGAC
Molecule: unclassified non-coding RNA, 217 nt
Filed under: Hevea brasiliensis (rubber tree)
Lineage: Eukaryota; Viridiplantae; Streptophyta; Magnoliopsida; Malpighiales; Euphorbiaceae
Source: RNAcentral